GAUGAACGCUGGCGGCGUGCCUAAUACAUGCAAGUCGAGCGAACAGACGAGGAGCUUGCUCUUCUGACGUUAGCGGCGGACGGGUGAGUAACACGUGGAUAACCUACCUAUAAGACUGGGAUAACUUCGGGAAACCGGAGCUAAUACCGGAUAAUAUAUUGAACCGCAUGGUUCAAUAGUGAAAGACGGUUUUGCUGUCACUUAUAGAUGGAUCCGCGCCGCAUUAGCUAGUUGGUAAGGUAACGGCUUACCAAGGCAACGAUGCGUAGCCGACCUGAGAGGGUGAUCGGCCACACUGGAACUGAGACACGAUCCAGACUCCUACGGGAGGCAGCAGUAGGGAAUCUUCCGCAAUGGGCGAAAGCCUGACGGAGCAACGCCGCGUGAGUGAUGAAGGUCUUCGGAUCGUAAAACUCUGUUAUUAGGGAAGAACAAAUGUGUAAGUAACUAUGCACGUCUUGACGGUACCUAAUCAGAAAGCCACGGCUAACUACGUG
Molecule: ribosomal RNA, 497 nt
Filed under: uncultured bacterium
Lineage: Bacteria
Description: partial 16S ribosomal RNA
Rfam family: Bacterial small subunit ribosomal RNA
Source: RNAcentral